This 501-nucleotide ribosomal RNA is filed under the name uncultured Microbacterium sp. RNAcentral's name for it is "bacterial SSU rRNA". It matches the Rfam family "Bacterial small subunit ribosomal RNA", at positions 348 to 859 of the family's 1533-position model. Lineage: Bacteria; Bacillati; Actinomycetota; Actinomycetes; Micrococcales; Microbacteriaceae. The record is from RNAcentral.
GCAGCAGUGGGGAAUAUUGCACAAUGGGCGAAAGCCUGAUGCAGCAACGCCGCGUGAGGGAUGACGGCCUUCGGGUUGUAAACCUCUUUUAGCAGGGAAGAAGCGAGAGUGACGGUACCUGCAGAAAAAGCGCCGGCUAACUACGUGCCAGCAGCCGCGGUAAUACGUAGGGCGCAAGCGUUAUCCGGAAUUAUUGGGCGUAAAGAGCUCGUAGGCGGUUUGUCGCGUCUGCUGUGAAAUCCCGAGGCUCAACCUCGGGCCUGCAGUGGGUACGGGCAGACUAGAGUGCGGUAGGGGAGAUUGGAAUUCCUGGUGUAGCGGUGGAAUGCGCAGAUAUCAGGAGGAACACCGAUGGCGAAGGCAGAUCUCUGGGCCGUAACUGACGCUGAGGAGCGAAAGGGUGGGGAGCAAACAGGCUUAGAUACCCUGGUAGUCCACCCCGUAAACGUUGGGAACUAGUUGUGGGGACCAUUCCACGGUUUCCGUGACGCAGCUAACGCA